AGCAUGGGUCUGGCUGGCUUGCUCCCAAGGGAAUCUGGCAGGUGGUAGCCAUAAGUUAGUUCUGCAAUCUGAAAAGUCACAACACUUGGCCUCCAGAGGAAUGCUAGGCACUUAUGUACACACUAGCUGCCACUGAAAAUUUCUCACUGGGCUCUAUGCCAGAAUCCUUCUCUGAGCCAUCUCCUCACCAGUACACAGAAAUAACAAGCUCUAGCAAUACCAGGGAGGAAUGCCAGAACUUACAUGCUUGACAACUGUACCAUCAGCUUACGGGACAAAACCACAGAACCUCCAAGUUGGAGUGAGAGUGAGAAAUGAUGGUAAUCUAGUUAAAUUUCUGCUUACCUGAAGAUUCAGGAAUGCUGAGUCCAUCCUGUGCACUCAAUAUCACUUCUUGAUUCCCCCUACUCUGUUUUCAUGAACCACAUAUUUCUAGCUCAUUUCAAUUCUAUUCACAAAUAUUGACCCCUUGAUAUAUAUGCUAUGGCCCUGAGAUGAAAAAAAUGAAUAGAAUGUAGUUUCCACUCCUCGGAGUUCACAGGCUCUGGGGAAAACAAGUCAUGAAAAUAAAUAGAGCAAGCUGCUAAGUGCUAUUGAGUGCACUGGAACACCAUUUAUGACACUAGUUAGGAACAAAAUUAGGUUUGUUUAUUUUAUUCUUUUACAAGUAUCUCCUGAGGACAGGAGGGAGGUGGAGGUGGUGGUGGUGAUUGUGGUGAACGACAUGGAAGUCCUAGUCCUAGCCUUAUUUAAAUUAGGUUUUUCCAAUGAUUAUUUUCAAGAAAUACUGGAGAAUGACCAGAUAGUUAUAAGAUCCCAGAGAAGAUGGGAGGAGGAUGGUAAACUAAAUAGAAAAAAAUACCUUCUUCUCGCUGCAGUUCAUGCUGUUAAUCACGCCCUUCUUGGAUCCUAUUUCACUCUCUCGAUUCUUCUCCCAUCUUAUUAAAUCAGUCAAAAAUAUACAAGGUCUCUACUAGUUAUUUGACAGUCAUCUUAGGCUCUGCUUCCCCCCCUCAUCCCUUAAAUUGUGUUUCCUAGAGCUGUACACUAUGUUUCUCUUGCUCUACUCUUUUUCUAAGCCAUCUUGUGCAUUCCUGUGGAUUCCUAUGGCUGUAACUACCAUCCAAAUGAGUAAUUCCAUAUCUGUAACUGCAGUUUUGUAGUCUUCCUUGAGCACCAAAACGUAAGUGUUUACUGGAAACCUUAACCUCAUUGCCCCAUGGGAAGCUCAAAACUCAGUUUAUACAAGGCUAAUUGUCUUUAUUCACAAAAUUCAUCACCUUCCUUCUAGUUUCCCCUUUCCCUCAAUCUUGGUUAGAGGAACGUCCCAAUAUACUCACUUGUUCAAGCAGAAACCUGGGCAUUAGCCUCUACUUCUCUCUUCUCCUUCCAUCAUCCAUUGAGUCCUAUUAAUUUUACCGCCUGAGUGUCUCUCAAAUCUGCCCUUUCCUCUCUAUCUUCACUGCUAUAGCCCUAUAGCCUUGUUUCAGUCCCUCAUCAUCUCUCUCCUAUACCAGGGGACCAUUUGGCUACUCAUAUCCCCCACCAAACUUUAAGCUCCUUAAAGAGAGAGACACUGUUUUCCUCGUUUUUUGAACCGUGCCUGACCUCUUUCCCCAAAUGCUGCUGGACACAGCGCUUUGCAUGUUUGUUGAAUGAAGAAUAAAUGGAGGCCCUGUAAGGUUAUGAUUACAUAAAAUCCACAGUUUCAACUCGCUGGAAUUUGUUUUAUCCACUUUCCUUCUUUAGAAGUGAUGGUUCUGCUCUUGUAACAAUCUACUAUUCUAACCUAAAAUUUAUCAGAGCUAUAAUUAAUCCCAACAGUUUGCUUUGCUAAUGGGAAAAAAAAAGAGAGAGAGACAGACCGCACUUUAGAAAUAGAAGCCACUGUUGUCUUUAUAAAACACAGAAUUGUGCUGCUGUUGUUGCUUGCUUCAGAAGGAACUGUACAUUACAGCUGCUGGGAUAAUUUUACAAUGGACUGGACAAGGUACAGCUCAAAGCAGGACACAAACACAAGUCUCAAAGGGAAACAAAUGCAAACAAGUACACAGCUGUGGGGCUCCAGGGACAUUUCCCCAUCCAUGCUGGACUUGAGAGGGAUAAAAAGUUUAGAAACUAAUGUGAAACCCAGAGUAGUCACACACGCCCACCAGACGGCUGCUAAGUGCCAACAUCACACACCAAUCAGGUUGGACUGUGUGCACAGGAAAGUCAUUUCAUUUUUCCUUAUUGCUACUACACCAGGGGACUCAGUGCAUUCGACACAUUGUCUUUACUUGCACAAUCCUUGGAGGGUUUCCUAUUUUCCUUUUUAAAGAAGGAAAUCUGCCUUCCCCACCUUAUUCUGGUUUUUUUGUUUUGUUUUUAGCCCAUUCCCUCCACUCCCUUUCAUGGGCUCCCAAACAGCAGCCAGAGGUUCUAAGUCAGUAGGAGUAGAGUAAGAGGAGAGCACCAACCUAGCCUCCCUCCCUGCCCAGGGAGAAGGCAAGUCCUAAUAAAUGGGGGGAAAGAGAAAACCAGAGAAUCCCUUUACCCCAAUCUGCUUAGAAGGCCAAAUAGGAAAGAGUGCCCUGCAUAUCCCUGCCAUGAUCAGACUUUAAGAAGGAAGGCAUCCCAGCUACCAUCCUGAAUUGGCCUAAGCCCAGUAAAUAUAAAUAAAAAUAACUCCCCCUGAUGUAGUUUCCAAAACUGCAUUUUGGCUAGUUUGAGAUGACUUUCUACCCUGAAGGGGAAGGAACUUCCAUCCUUCUUUGUUACACAUGAUGCCAGGUCUAAAACACUGUCCCACCAGCCUUGCAGACGUCCUGUGGGCCAGCUAAGAAGUCAAAGUGUCCCCUCGGCUGCCCAUCUUGAGUGCUAGCCUCAUUUACAGAAUUCUGGAUCAGAAAAAGAAGACUAUCCAAGAACACUGUUGCUUGGCCAAAGAGGAGGCCACAGAGGAGCUAUCUAGUAGGUAGGAACCAGAAGCUUUUUAGGGAGGUUUCACACUUUUAGGUACCUUCUUCUUCAGCAUUAUUCUAAGCCUAAGUUCCCAGCAACAACAGCCCCAGGCUUAUCCCCAGAGGCCAGCAAUAGCACCUCAACCCCCAAUGGGUCAGGCUGGACUAGAAAAAUGAUCAAUGAGCAGUGCUCUCCUUUCCCACCUUUUAUCCAAAUUCUCUCCAUUUUCUUCCCAUCACUCUCUUCUUCCCCCAUGUCCAUUCUCUAACCCUCCAACCCCGGAUACCCAAGUAGCUUAACCCUAGGAAAUUCUCAGA
Non-coding RNA from Ceratotherium simum simum (southern white rhinoceros), 3260 nucleotides. The record is from RefSeq and is a predicted model, not a curated record. NCBI's taxonomy places the organism in Eukaryota, Metazoa, Chordata, Mammalia, Perissodactyla, Rhinocerotidae.